This is a small nucleolar RNA of Zingiber officinale, 107 nucleotides long. NCBI's taxonomy places the organism in Eukaryota, Viridiplantae, Streptophyta, Magnoliopsida, Zingiberales, Zingiberaceae. The record is from RefSeq and is a predicted model, not a curated record.
AGUCUAUAAUGAGGGUACUAUCUUAGAAGUCCUUUAAAUUUGUCCCAAACUUCAUAUAAAGAUUCUCCAUUUUUUUACAUAAACAAUAAAAUUUCUCAGAUGAGAAG